This 186-nucleotide ribosomal RNA is filed under the name uncultured Vibrio sp. RNAcentral describes it as "partial 16S ribosomal RNA". It matches the Rfam family "Bacterial small subunit ribosomal RNA", at positions 354 to 531 of the family's 1533-position model. Lineage: Bacteria; Pseudomonadati; Pseudomonadota; Gammaproteobacteria; Vibrionales; Vibrionaceae. The record is from RNAcentral.
GGAGCGAAUAUUGCACAAUGGGCGCAAGCCUGAUGCAGCCAUGCCGCGUGUGUGAAGAAGGCCUUCGGGUUGUAAAGCACUUUCAGUCGUGAGGAAGGGGGUGUAGUUAAUAGCUGCAUUAUUUGACGUUAGCGACAGAAGAAGCACCGGCUAACUCCGUGCCAGCAGCCGCGGUAAAUAAAAAAA